RNAcentral lists this unclassified non-coding RNA (270 nucleotides) under Hevea brasiliensis (rubber tree). Lineage: Eukaryota; Viridiplantae; Streptophyta; Magnoliopsida; Malpighiales; Euphorbiaceae. The record is from RNAcentral.
UCCCCUUUAGACCAGAAAUGAACUGCAACAGAAAUUGUGUCCAUGGUAUAAGGUUGGCCCCGUAUGAAAAAUCCUCCAAAAAAUAUCCUCUUGAGCCCAAAUCGGAGUGCAUUCAAGUAAGAGAUUUGUCCAAUAUUAUUUGAAAUCAUCCUAAGAAGAGAUCGGGCGACAUCUUCAGGUUUGUAAUCUUCAAGCUCUUUAUUGUCAGAAACAGCCUUCCCAAAGCUGGAAGCAAUAGUUGUUGAUAAAAGGCCAAUCUUUGAAUAAUCC